GACGAACGCUGGCGGCGUGCUUAACACAUGCAAGUCGAACGGAAAGACCCUGCUUUUGUGGGGUGCUCGAGUGGCGAACGGGUGAGUAACACGUGAGUAACCUGCCCUUGACUUUGGGAUAACUUCAGGAAACUGGGGCUAAUACCGGAUAGGAGCUCCUGCUGCAUGGUGGGGGUUGGAAAGUUUCGGCGGUUGGGGAUGGACUCGCGGCUUAUCAGCUUGUUGGUGGGGUAGUGGCUUACCAAGGCUUUGACGGGUAGCCGGCCUGGGAGGGUGACCGGCCACAUUGGGACUGAGAUACGGACCAGACUCCAACGGAAGGCAGCAGUGGGGAAUAUUGCACAAUGGGCGGAAGCCUGAUGCAGCAACGCCGCGUGCGGGAUGACGGCCUUCGGGUUGUAAACCGCUUUCGCCUGUGACGAAGCGUGAGUGACGGUAAUGGGUAAAGAAGCACCGGCUAACUACGUG
This 468-nucleotide ribosomal RNA is filed under the name uncultured bacterium. RNAcentral describes it as "partial 16S ribosomal RNA". It matches the Rfam family "Bacterial small subunit ribosomal RNA", at positions 28 to 507 of the family's 1533-position model. The record is from RNAcentral.